UACAGAGGUCCCAAGCGUUGUUCGGAUUCACUGGGCGUAAAGGGUGCGUAGGCGGUCGGGUAAGUCUGAUGUGAAAUCUCACAGCUUAACUGUGAAACUGCAUUGGAUACUAUCCGGCUCGAGGAAUGGAGGGGAGACUGGAAUACUUGGUGUAGCAGUGAAAUGCGUAGAUAUCAAGUGGAACACCAGUGGCGAAGGCGAGUCUCUGGGCCAAUACUGACGCUGAGGAGCGAAAGCGUGGGGAGCGAACAGG
Molecule: ribosomal RNA, 253 nt
Filed under: uncultured bacterium
Lineage: Bacteria
Description: partial 16S ribosomal RNA
Rfam family: Bacterial small subunit ribosomal RNA
Source: RNAcentral